GAUGAACGCUGACAGAAUGCUUAACACAUGCAAGUCGAUGGGGAAGUGGUGCUUGCACCAUGGUAACCAUGGCGGACGGGUGAGUAACGCGUAAGGAACUUGCCUGCGGGACUGGGAUAACAGCAGGAAACUGCUGAUAAUACCGGAUAAGGUCAUUAAGCUGCAUAGCUUAGUGAUGAAAGGAGACGCCUGCGGAGAGCCUUGCGUCCUAUUAGCUAGUUGGAGGGGUAACGGCCCACCAAGGCGAAGAUAGGUAGCCGGCCUGAGAGGGUGGACGGCCACAAGGGGACUGAGAUACGGCCCUUACCCCUACGGGAGGCAGCAGUGGGGAAUAUUGGACAAUGGGGGCAACCCUGAUCCAGCAAUUCUGUGUGCACGAAGACGGUUUUCGGAUUGUAAAGUGCUUUCAGCAGGGAAGAAGGAAGUGACGGUACCUGCAGAAGAAGCGACGGCUAAAUACGG
RNAcentral lists this ribosomal RNA (462 nucleotides) under uncultured bacterium. Its description in RNAcentral is "partial 16S ribosomal RNA". It matches the Rfam family "Bacterial small subunit ribosomal RNA", at positions 28 to 506 of the family's 1533-position model. The record is from RNAcentral.